This 376-nucleotide ribosomal RNA is filed under the name uncultured bacterium. Its description in RNAcentral is "bacterial SSU rRNA". It matches the Rfam family "Bacterial small subunit ribosomal RNA", at positions 524 to 898 of the family's 1533-position model. The record is from RNAcentral.
UACGUAGGGAGCGAGCGUUGUCCGGAAUCAUUGGGCGUAAAGAGCGCGUAGGUGGGUAGAUCAGUCUGCUGUGAAAGUCGAAGGCUCAACCUUCGAAAGCCGGUGGAUACUGUUUAUCUUGAGUACGGAAGAGGCGAGUGGAAUUCCUGGUGUAGCGGUGGAAUGCGCAGAUAUCAGGAGGAACACCAAUAGCGAAGGCAGCUCGCUGGGACGUUACUGACACUGAGGCGCGAAAGCGUGGGGAGCAAACAGGAUUAGAUACCCUGGUAGUCCACGCCGUAAACGAUGGGUACUAGGUGUGGGAGGUGUCGACUCCUCCCGUACCGCAGCUAACGCACUAAGUACCCCGCCUGGGGAGUACGGCCGCAAGGCUAAA